RNAcentral lists this transfer RNA (73 nucleotides) under Cricetulus griseus (Chinese hamster). It matches the Rfam family "tRNA". Rfam says of the family: Transfer RNA (tRNA) molecules are approximately 80 nucleotides in length. The record is from Rfam by way of RNAcentral. Lineage: Eukaryota; Metazoa; Chordata; Mammalia; Rodentia; Cricetidae.
GGGGAUGUAGCCCAGUUGGUAGAGCAUUUGUCUAGCAUGCAGGAAACCCAGAGUUCAACCCCUGGCAACUCUU